UACGAAGGGGGCUAGCGUUGUUCGGAAUCACUGGGCGUAAAGCGCACGUAGGCGGAUCUUUAAGUCAGGGGUGAAAUCCCGAGGCUCAACCUCGGAACUGCCUUUGAUACUGGGGAUCUCGAGUCCGGGAGAGGUGAGUGGAACUGCGAGUGUAGAGGUGAAAUUCGUAGAUAUUCGCAAGAACACCAGUGGCGAAGGCGGCUCACUGGCCCGGAACUGACGCUGAGGUGCGAAAGCGUGGGGAGCAACAGGAGU
Molecule: ribosomal RNA, 255 nt
Filed under: uncultured bacterium
Lineage: Bacteria
Description: partial 16S ribosomal RNA
Rfam family: Bacterial small subunit ribosomal RNA
Source: RNAcentral